Callithrix jacchus (white-tufted-ear marmoset) is the source of this 525-nucleotide non-coding RNA. The record is from RefSeq and is a predicted model, not a curated record. Lineage: Eukaryota; Metazoa; Chordata; Mammalia; Primates; Cebidae.
CAGACGCCUCUGGGCCUCGCGAGGCCACUUGAGUGUGGGACCGACUAGUGCAUCCUUGCGACCCUGAGGCCGAGUGCGUGCAGGACUGGGCGAUACCUCCGCCAGGCAGGAUUUUGUCUGAUUCACCCCUUGAGAGUUUCGCUCUUGUACCCAGACUGGAGUGCAAUGGCAUGAUCUCGGCUCUCCGCAACCUCCGCCUUCUGGGUUCAAGCAAUUCUCCUGCCUCAGCCUCCCGAAUAGCUGGGACUACAGGCGCGCACCACCAUGCCCAGCUAAUUUUUGUGUUUUUAGUAGAGACGGGGUUUCACCUAAUUGACCAGGAUGGUCUCGAUCUCUCGACCUCAUGAUCCACCCGCCUCGGCCUCCCAAAGUGCUGGGAUAUAGGCAUGAGCCACCGCGCCCAGCCUCCUGAGUGGUGUUAAAUUGCAUACAUACAUUACAAUUUGUAUAUCCAUUCACUUGCUGGUGGACAUUUGGGUUGUUUCCAGUUUUAGCCAUUUCAAAUAAAAAUGAUGAGGACAUUUA